AUCUCUUCUCUUUCUCGUUUUGGAUAACACGGUCAAACAUUCCGAAAGAUUUUGCACCGACCUCGUUUACCAAUCGUCGAACUAAUAAUUUAACAACUGUUACCUUCUGUCGAUACGAGAUCGUCGUCGGCUCGUCUUCGUUAAUUAUCGGAGAAGUUCGUACAUCGGAGCAAUCAAGCGGCGCAUCGCCGACUCGUUAGCGUUGAAAUUACGUUUCAGCUAGCUAGUCGACUGUCUUAACGACUCGAACUUUAACGAUCAAAGAGAAAGAAAAAGAUUUUGAAGUGAUCCGUGUGACCGUGUGGAAAAAUAUUAACUUGUAUUAUAUAGAAAAAUUUUAAGUAUCAAACUUUGUCAAUAUAUAAUAAGCAUAAAAUGUCGUAUACGUAAUUCUGCGAACGUUAACAAAAAUAUGGAAUUUGAAGGAAGAGUAGCAGGCGUGGUUACUGCGAUAAUAUAAUGGUGAAAUAUAGAUAAUUUCAAACGAACCCGAAUAGAUGAAACUGCAACCCCUGUCUGAAGUCUGUCGCUCGUUUAUCAUCCAUGUGAUCAUUCGUGGUGGAACGAAGCUGUUUUCAAAGAGAAGCAUGAUAUUGCGAUAAAAAAUUGCGCAGAAAAACGAUAAUGGAUGAUAAUUUUUUCUCUCUCUCUGUUUUCUCAUCUAUACUCUCGAGAUUGUUUAUCGAUCUUUCCGAAAUUAAAUUACUAAUAAAUAAUUAUUGCAUAAAAGAGAAGGCAGACGAGGAGGAAGACAUUUUUUUUCCAACUAUUUUUUCCUUUUCUAAGAUCUCGUGGCUUUUUCCUUUCGUUGGCCCUUGCUAUCUCGCGUGAAAAGGGAAAGCUGCUGCGAAGUAAACGAAACCCUUUCAUUCCAGAUAUCUUUAAUCGUGCCGACAUAAAGAAUGUCUACGACACUGAAAGUCGUAGAGAGGUCACCGCCUAGGUCAUUCAGCAAGCUAGACAAUACUUUCUUUUAUCAAGACCAAAUAGAUAUCUACUUUGCACGUGCAUUUAUUCGCGAAUUCCUUUUCUUUUUUUUUUUGUUACAUUGUUGUUUAAGAGUUUAAAUAUGAAAAAUUUAGAAUAAAAAAAUAGAAUAAAAUCAAA
Apis cerana (Asiatic honeybee) is the source of this 1107-nucleotide long non-coding RNA. RefSeq lists it as uncharacterized. The record is from RefSeq and is a predicted model, not a curated record. Lineage: Eukaryota; Metazoa; Arthropoda; Insecta; Hymenoptera; Apidae.